UGGCGGACGGGUGAGUAACACGUAGAGAACCUACCUUACACAGGGGGAUAACAGUUAGAAAUGACUGCUAAUACCGCAUAAGACCCCGGUACCGCAUGGUACAGAGGUAAAAACUGAGGUGGUGUAAGAUGGACCCGCGUCUGAUUAGGUAGUUGGUGAGGUAACGGCUCACCAAGCCGACGAUCAGUAGCCGGCCUGAGAGGGUGGACGGCCACAUUGGGACUGAGACACGGCCCAGACUCCUACGGGAGGCAGCAG
This 258-nucleotide ribosomal RNA is filed under the name uncultured bacterium. Its description in RNAcentral is "partial 16S ribosomal RNA". It matches the Rfam family "Bacterial small subunit ribosomal RNA", at positions 96 to 354 of the family's 1533-position model. The record is from RNAcentral.